RNAcentral lists this transfer RNA (73 nucleotides) under Ailuropoda melanoleuca (giant panda). It matches the Rfam family "tRNA". Rfam says of the family: Transfer RNA (tRNA) molecules are approximately 80 nucleotides in length. Lineage: Eukaryota; Metazoa; Chordata; Mammalia; Carnivora; Ursidae. The record is from Rfam by way of RNAcentral.
ACCUGGCUGGCUCAAUUGGAAGAUCAUGGGACUCUUGAUCUUGGGGUCGUGAGUUCGAGUCCCACGCUGGGUG